CAGUAGCCGCGGGAAUACGAAGGGUGCAAGCGUUAAUCGGAGUUACUGGGCGUAAAGGGUGCGUAGGCGGUUGUUUAAGUCUGUUGUGAAAUCCCCGGGCUCAAUCUGGGAAUGGCAAUGGAAACUGGACGGCUAGAGUGUGACAGAGGAUGGUGGAAUUCCCGGUGUAGCGGUGAAAUGCAUAGAGAUCGGGAGGAACAUCAGUGGCGAAGGCAGCCCCCUGGGCCAAUACUGACGCUCAUGCACGAAAGCGUGGGGAGCAAACAGGAUUAGAGACCCCGGUAGUCCCUGUCUCUUAUAC
RNAcentral lists this ribosomal RNA (301 nucleotides) under uncultured bacterium. RNAcentral describes it as "partial 16S ribosomal RNA". It matches the Rfam family "Bacterial small subunit ribosomal RNA", at positions 509 to 807 of the family's 1533-position model. The record is from RNAcentral.